AGAGUUUGAUCCUGGCUCAGAUUGAACGCUGGCGGCAUGCCUUACACAUGCAAGUCGAACGGUAACGCGGGGCAACCUGGCGACGAGUGGCGAACGGGUGAGUAAUGCAUCGGAACGUGCCCAGAAGUGGGGGAUAGCCCGGCGAAAGCCGGAUUAAUACCGCAUGAGACCUGAGGGUGAAAGCGGGGGAUCGCAAGACCUCGCGCUUUUGGAGCGGCCGAUGUCAGAUUAGCUAGUUGGUGGGGUAAGGCCUACCAAGGCGACGAUCUGUAGCUGGUCUGAGAGGACGACCAGCCACACUGGGACUGAGACACGGCCCAGACUCCUACGGGAGGCAGCAGUGGGGAAUUUUGGACAAUGGGCGCAAGCCUGAUCCAGCCAUGCCGCGUGCGGGAAGAAGGCCUUCGGGUUGUAAACCGCUUUUGUCAGGGAAGAAACGCUCUGGGCUAAUACCCUGGGGUAAUGACGGUACCUGAAGAAUAAGCACCGGCUAACUACGUG
This 501-nucleotide ribosomal RNA is filed under the name uncultured Burkholderiales Genera incertae sedis bacterium. RNAcentral's name for it is "bacterial SSU rRNA". It matches the Rfam family "Bacterial small subunit ribosomal RNA", at positions 8 to 507 of the family's 1533-position model. The record is from RNAcentral. Lineage: Bacteria; Pseudomonadati; Pseudomonadota; Betaproteobacteria; Burkholderiales.